CCCUUAGAUGUUCUGGGCCGCACGCGCGCUACACUGAUGCAUUCAACGAGUUUCUUCCUGGUCCGAGAGGAAUGGGUAACCUUUUGAAAGUGCAUCGUGAUAGGGAUAGACUAUUGCAAUUAUUGGUCUUCAACGAGGAAUUCCUAGUAGACGUAGUUCAUCAGACUGCAUCGAUUACGUCCCUGCCCUUUGUACACACCGCCCGUCGCUCCUACCGAUUGAAUGCUCAGGUGAGCCAUUCGGACUUUCAUCAUGCUGGUUUCCAGUUUUGAUGAAGGAAAGUCUUGCGAACCUUAUAAUUUAGAGGAAGGAGAAGUCGUAACA
RNAcentral lists this ribosomal RNA (324 nucleotides) under uncultured eukaryote. RNAcentral's name for it is "partial 18S ribosomal RNA". It matches the Rfam family "Eukaryotic small subunit ribosomal RNA", at positions 1470 to 1796 of the family's 1831-position model. The record is from RNAcentral.